AGUGCAGUCACUGUGGAGGCCCACACCUA
This 29-nucleotide small RNA is filed under the name Bombyx mori (domestic silkworm). RNAcentral describes it as "ovarian small RNA-12301". Lineage: Eukaryota; Metazoa; Arthropoda; Insecta; Lepidoptera; Bombycidae. The record is from RNAcentral.